GACGAACUGUUCUAACGUUAUUCGGAAUCACUGGGCUUAAAGGGCGCGUAGGCUGUUUGUUAAGCGGGGUCUGAAAUCCCUCGGCUCAACCGAGGAACUGGGCUUCGAACUGGCAGACUAGAGUGUGGUAGGGGAGACUGGAAUUCCUGGUGUAGCGGUGAAAUGCGCAGAUAUCAGGAGGAACACCGGUGGCGAAGGCGGAUCUCUGGGCCGAUACUGACGCUGAGGAGCGAAAGCGUGGGGAGCGAACAGGAUUAGAUACCCCGGUAGUCCCUGA
Molecule: ribosomal RNA, 277 nt
Filed under: uncultured prokaryote
Description: partial 16S ribosomal RNA
Rfam family: Bacterial small subunit ribosomal RNA
Source: RNAcentral